Molecule: small RNA, 113 nt
Filed under: Microcebus murinus (gray mouse lemur)
Lineage: Eukaryota; Metazoa; Chordata; Mammalia; Primates; Cheirogaleidae
Description: Y RNA (ENSMICG00000024253.3)
Source: RNAcentral
AACUAAAAAUAUAGAGAGAGUUAUCUCACGUGAUUGUUCACAGUCAGUUACAGACUGAACUCCUUGUUCUACUACUUUUUCCCCUCCUCACUACUGCACUUGACUAGUCUUAA